This 66-nucleotide transfer RNA is filed under the name Trichosia splendens. Its description in RNAcentral is "tRNA-Phe". Lineage: Eukaryota; Metazoa; Arthropoda; Insecta; Diptera; Sciaridae. The record is from RNAcentral.
GUUUAAAUAGCUUAUAUAAGAGUUUAAUAUUGAAGAUAUUAAGGAAAUAUUAAUUAUUUUUAAACA